GAAAAGUCCCAUGGCAAAGAGAAUGGAUAAAGGGAGGUGUUGCGACAUUGAGGCUCAUGAUUCCAUCCAACGCAAGGGCAUCUCCCAGGACCGAUAUCUUCUUUGGAUCACUGGCGUUGGUGCUUAUUAUUAACCUCCAGCUUGGCUUGGAAAAAUCGAGUCCCGAGAUGAAUUGAUCAGCUCAUUGAAAAUAAAUAUGCAAGCUUCAUAGAAGAUAUGAAAUUCAAGUACACAGCAAAAUCCAUCAUUGAUCUGCCCCGUGGGAAAUCAGGAGGGAACGGGCGCUCGACCUCGCAGAGGGAACGGUUUCCAGCACUGAUGCUAUUGCUGACUUGAUGUUUGAUAUUGACUGUGUCCUUCCUAUCCUGAGGACCUCUGUUUCCUCAUCUCUUAAACCCCUUCCAUAAUCUCCGUGGUCCAGCAAAAGCUGGGGGUCAAUGGCAUGACUUGGUCAUGGUCCCAGAGAGAAUCUGAAAAGGCCAAGCCCAGAAUCCUGGUCUGGAGCUUUUUCCAGUACGUGUAACAACAUCUCACAAACACCAACUUAGCACUCACUCCAUGCUGGGUGUGGUGGCAGGUGUUACGGGUACAAAGAUGGAAGAGCAAGGUCCCUGCCCUCAAAGGGCCGACAAUUAGC
This 637-nucleotide long non-coding RNA is filed under the name Equus asinus (donkey). RNAcentral describes it as "lncRNA (ENSEASG00005033006.1)". The record is from RNAcentral. Lineage: Eukaryota; Metazoa; Chordata; Mammalia; Perissodactyla; Equidae.